This 30-nucleotide non-coding RNA is filed under the name Mus musculus (house mouse). The record is from RNAcentral. Lineage: Eukaryota; Metazoa; Chordata; Mammalia; Rodentia; Muridae.
UAGAAAUAGCCCACGUUUUCUUGGGAGUCC